UACGUAGGGGGCAAGCGUUGUCCGGAAUCAUUGGGCGUAAAGAGCGUGUAGGCGGCUUGGCAAGUCUGGUGUGAAAUCUUGCGGCUCAACCGCAAGCGGUCACUGGAAACUGCCUCGCUAGAGUCCGGAAGAGGAGAGCGGAAUUCCUGGUGUAGCGGUGGAAUGCGCAGAUAUCAGGAGGAACACCAAUUGCGAAGGCAGCUCGCUGGGACGUGACUGACGCUGAGACGCGAAAGCGUGGGGAGCAAACAGG
RNAcentral lists this ribosomal RNA (253 nucleotides) under uncultured bacterium. Its description in RNAcentral is "partial 16S ribosomal RNA". It matches the Rfam family "Bacterial small subunit ribosomal RNA", at positions 524 to 776 of the family's 1533-position model. The record is from RNAcentral.